Molecule: ribosomal RNA, 486 nt
Filed under: uncultured bacterium
Lineage: Bacteria
Description: bacterial SSU rRNA
Rfam family: Bacterial small subunit ribosomal RNA
Source: RNAcentral
GACGAACGCUGGCGGCGUGCUUAACACAUGCAAGUCGAACGAGGUUUAGCGGAGCUUGCUCCGCGACUACCUAGUGGCGAACGGGUGCGUAACACGUGAGAAACCUGUCCCAAACAUUGGAAUAACAGCUCGAAACAGCUGCUAAUACCAAAUACCACCGAAGUGUCGCAUGGCACAUCGAUGAAAGCUCCGGCGGUUUGGGAGGGUCUCGCGGCCUAUCAGCUUGUUGGUGAGGUAACGGCUCACCAAGGCAUCGACGGGUAGCUGGUCUGUGAGGAUGAUCAGCCACACUGGAACUGAGACACGGUCCAGACUUCUACGGAAGGCAGCAGUGGGGAAUAUUGCACAAUGGGCGCAAGCCUGAUGCAGCAACGCCGCGUGCGGGAAGACGGCCCUAGGGUUGUAAACCGCUUUCAGUAGGGAAGAAAAUGACGGUACCUACAGAAGAAGGUGCGGCCAACUACGUGCCAGCAGCCGCCGUAACAC